This 227-nucleotide ribosomal RNA is filed under the name uncultured bacterium. RNAcentral's name for it is "partial 16S ribosomal RNA". It matches the Rfam family "Bacterial small subunit ribosomal RNA", at positions 524 to 751 of the family's 1533-position model. The record is from RNAcentral.
UACGAAGGGGGCUAGCGUUGCUCGGAAUUACUGGGCGUAAAGGCGCGUAGGCGGCACUGUUAGUCAGGCGUGAAAGUCCUGGGCUCAACCUGGGAACUGCGCUUGAUACGGCAGAGCUAGAGGAUGGAAGAGGCUCGCGGAAUUCCCAGUGUAGAGGUGAAAUUCGUAGAUAUUGGGAAGAACACCGGUGGCGAAGGCGGCGAGCUGGUCCAUUACUGACGCUGAGG